AGGUUACCAUGCAGUCGAGCGGGCGUUACAUACGAGAGCGGCAGACGGGUGAGUUCCGCGUGGGAACAUACCUUUUGGUUCGGAACAACACAGGGAAACUUGUGCUAAUACCGGACAAGCCCUUACGGGGAAAGAUUUAUCGCCGAAAGAUCGGCCCGCGUCUGAUUAGCUAGUUGGUGAGGUAAUGGCUCACCAAGGCGACGAUCAGUAGCUGGUCUGAGAGGAUGAUCAGCCACAUUGGGACUGAGACACGGCCCAAACUCCUACGGGAGGCAGCAGUGGG
Molecule: ribosomal RNA, 283 nt
Filed under: uncultured Bradyrhizobium sp.
Lineage: Bacteria; Pseudomonadati; Pseudomonadota; Alphaproteobacteria; Hyphomicrobiales; Nitrobacteraceae
Description: partial 16S ribosomal RNA
Rfam family: Bacterial small subunit ribosomal RNA
Source: RNAcentral